This 327-nucleotide unclassified non-coding RNA is filed under the name Hevea brasiliensis (rubber tree). The record is from RNAcentral. Lineage: Eukaryota; Viridiplantae; Streptophyta; Magnoliopsida; Malpighiales; Euphorbiaceae.
UGGCCUCUUUAGGUUCUUCAAAUCCAAAGAAUCAAUACACUCUACCUCACCUCUAUGUAAAUUCAACAAUUUCAACAACUCACUUGCCUUCUCCUUAGUAUUUUCACCACAACCAACUUGUAUUAGUAACAAUAGCUUUUGAAAUGCACCAACUUGAAGUGCUUCAUUAAUAAGCACAACAUUAUCAUUCUUCCCAAUUAAUAACUUCCAUAAUAUUGAAACUGAAAAUUCAGUUGCUAAAUCUGAAACUCUCAAUAAUUUCUUGAUCAAAACAGGAAUAGUUAAGGCAUAAUUAUUAGCCCUUUUUCUCCCUUCUUGUGAGUUGCA